Oncorhynchus gorbuscha (pink salmon) is the source of this 2140-nucleotide RNA transcript. It is a transcript of the gene named cleavage stimulation factor subunit 2-like, with no coding region annotated. The record is from RefSeq and is a predicted model, not a curated record. The transcript has 14 exons. Lineage: Eukaryota; Metazoa; Chordata; Actinopteri; Salmoniformes; Salmonidae.
UUAUCAUUCCCGAAAAUGGCGACUUUAGCAGCUGCUGCUGUUGUUGCUGCCGCUGGCAGAGAUCCCGCUGUUGACCGUUCAUUGCGCUCUGUCUUUGUGGGAAACAUUCCAUAUGAGGCACAGAGGAGCAACUGAAAGACAUUUUUUCAGAAGUCGGUCUCGUUGUCAGCUUUCGGUUGGUGUAUGAUAGGGAGACAGGCAAGCCGAAGGGAUAUGGCUUCUGUGAGUAUCAGGACCAGGAGACGGCCCUCAGUGCCAUGCGGAACCUGAACGGAAGAGAGUUCAGCGGCCGGGCUCUCCGUGUUGACAAUGCUGCUAGUGAGAAAAACAAAGAGGAGCUCAAGAGUUUGGGGACAGGAGCCCCCAUUAUUGAGUCUCCCUACGGGGACAACAUCAUGCCAGACGAGGCUCCAGAGUCUAUUAGCAGAGCUGUGGCCAGUUUGCCCCCAGAGCAGAUGUUUGAGCUCAUGAAACAGAUGAAGCUGUGUGUGCAAAACAGUCCCCAGGAGGCCAGGAACAUGCUGUUGCAGAACCCCCAGCUGGCAUUUGCUUUGCUGCAGGCCCAGGUUGUCAUGAGGAUUGUAGACCCUGAGAUUGCCCUGAAAAUGCUUCACCGUCAAACCCCAGUGCAGCCAUUGGUUCCCAACAGUCAAGCUGGGCCAGUGCCAGUGGCCAACCAGCCUAUUCCCCCAGCCAAUGCUCCAGUCUCCCAGUCACAGCCCAUGCCGGGCAUGCACAUGAACGGAGCUCCUCAGAUGAUGCAGCCCCCUCCCAUGGGUGGGGGACCUGGGCCCAUGCCAGGACAGGGACCAGUGGGACCACCAGGAAACCUCCAGCACUCACCCGUAGGAUCAUCUGGGCAGGCUGCUAUCGAGCGACCUCAAGGACCAGGUGGUAUCCCUCCCAGAGGCCUGCUUGGCGAUGGCCCCAACGACCCCAGAGGAGGAACCCUGCUCUCUGUCACAGGAGAGGUCAUCGAACCCAGUCGAGGAGGAGGCUUCAUCGGGGCCCCCCCACCACACCAGGGGCCCCCCAUGCACAUGAACCAGAUGGCUGGAGGGCCUCCUCUGGACAUGAGGCCGCCCCAUGACAUGAGAGGACCCCCCAUGGGUGAACCCAGAGGCAUGAUGGGAGAGCCCCGGGAACCCCCCAUGGGUGAACCCAGGGGCAUGAUGGGAGAGCCCCGGGGACCCCCCAUGGGUGAACCCAGGGGCAUGAUGGGAGAGCCCCGGGGACCCCCCAUGGGUGAACCCAGGGGCAUGAUGGGAGAGCCCCGGGGACCCCCCAUGGGUGAAUCCAGGGGCAUGAUGGGAGAGCCCCGGGGACCCCCCAUGGGUGAACCCAGGGGCAUGAUGGGAGAGCCCCGGGGACCCCCCAUGGGUGAACCCAGGGGCAUGAUGGGAGAGUCCCGGGGACCCCCCAUGAUGGAACAGCGGGGACCCCCCAUGAUGGAGCCCAGGGGACCCCCCAUGGAGAACAGAGGUCGGGACCCCCGAGCGGUGGACCCCCGUGGACCAGUGUCGGGCCAGAGGGUUCCCACUGCACAAGGAAUGCAGGGCCCCUCCCCUCACUCCAUGAAUACUAAUGCCCCUCCACCUGCCAGACCGGGUCCUGGUGUACCACAGUCCGGAGGUAGCUUCAGCCCAGGGCAAAGCCAGGUGACCUCACAGGACCAUGAGAAGGCCGCCUUGAUCAUGCAAGUGCUGCAGCUGACCCCAGAACAGAUCGCCAUGCUGCCCCCAGAACAGAGGCAGAGCAUUCUCGUCCUCAAAGAGCAGAUCCUGAAGACCACCGGGGCACCCUGAAUACCCUCACACCCAUAGGCUCAAGACUGUCACAGGACCCCGACACCCCUGCCCCCGUAACCUCGACGUUGGAUUGAUCAGAACACGUCACCUCACUUCAAACAUUUUGGAGAUUGUUUUGUAUUAUAUGGUCUUUUUUUUAAUGGAAGUUUAAAGUGUUAGUGAUUUGAAGAAUGUCUGUUAUUCUUUUGAAGGGGAACAUAGUCAGUUCAACUGAGAAAAGCGUUGCUGGAUGUUACUUGAUGCCCGACCCUUUUCAUUUUGUGGCUGGACCCUGUUGCCUGUCUGGAUAUUUGUUCAAUUAAAUAAACACUUCAAUAGAAACUGUUCACACA